CCCCGCUAGCUCAACUGGUGGAGCAUCUGCCCGGUGAGAGGAAUGUCGCGGGUUCGAUUCCGGUUAGUGGGGA
This 73-nucleotide transfer RNA is filed under the name Fasciola hepatica (liver fluke). RNAcentral's name for it is "tRNA-Thr". The record is from RNAcentral. Lineage: Eukaryota; Metazoa; Platyhelminthes; Trematoda; Plagiorchiida; Fasciolidae.